CUGGGAGUAGUAGCUGGGGGGCAAGAGCAAAUAAAGAGCUCGAGCUUCUGUGGUCUCUGGGGAGAUGUUCCCGGGAAGCCUGUCUAGAGGGCGGAGGGCAGCUGUUGAGAUGGCGUGGCUCCCCGGCUCCUGCGCCCGCGUGGCUUUCGCGGCGGGCGCUGCGGCCCGGUAUUGGACAGCCUGGCAGGGCAGCGCGGGGCCGAAUCCGGCUGCCGUGGCUGAGGCUCAUGGAUCACUCUUUUGUGGUAGGGCCACAUCUGCCAGAGCCUGGAGUCUGCGAAGGCCGGGACCCGGUUCCCCGGCCCACAGUGGGGGUGUGCAAACCCGAGAGAACUGGUCGCUGAAACCUCUACAACUUAGUUGACCGUAACUGCCAGAGCCCUGCCCUGAAUUCCUGUCCUUACUCCCUCUUUAAGAUUGCGUACCCACUGCAGAGUGCUGAAGACGGGGUAGCCACGAGGUUGCAAAUUCGUGAAGAAUCAGCAUCAUGUUUGGCAGCUGAGUAUUGGAGCCAGGAGCCUGCCAUGAGGUUUUGAGAACAGAGUGCUGUUUUAGAGCUGGCAGCAGCAUCUCAGCCCAAGAGAAGGUUAUAUUCCCAGAGGAUGUCAGUCCCAAGGACCAGUAGCUGCCAUCAGUUUGGAUUCUGAAAACUAACUGGCAUCAACACUGGGUGUAGAAACAUGCUUGCCUUAUGUAUCAGAGGACAUGCUCAGCAGAUCCA
Molecule: long non-coding RNA, 721 nt
Filed under: Homo sapiens (human)
Lineage: Eukaryota; Metazoa; Chordata; Mammalia; Primates; Hominidae
Description: HSALNT0388740
Source: RNAcentral